GACAAACAGGACAUGGGUGAAAACAACCUGAUUGGAGGAGGUGAAGCCCUUUGAAACAGCUGUUUCUAAAGGUCCUAUACAAAUGAAAUUCCUGCAGCGGGACCGGGGCCCUCCCACAGUGAAUCCUGUGGUGUGACAUCAGCCCGAGUGACAAGGAGGAAGCGGUGUGGGGAAGAGUCAAGUUAC
Limanda limanda (common dab) is the source of this 186-nucleotide long non-coding RNA. RefSeq lists it as uncharacterized. The record is from RefSeq and is a predicted model, not a curated record. NCBI's taxonomy places the organism in Eukaryota, Metazoa, Chordata, Actinopteri, Pleuronectiformes, Pleuronectidae. The transcript has 3 exons.